CUCAUUUAGGGCGGAUCCCCAUGGGGCACGGUCUUCGUUGAAAAAAAAUAGACAUCUCUCUCCGCUAUUGUCGUUCCUCUUUCCCUUCUCUUUAUUCUUUCUUUUUUCUUCAUUUUCCCUCCCCCACCCUGCUCUUUGCAUCUCCGUUGGCGUCGCCUUCCACUGCAUUAGGGGAGCUAUCUAGAGGGAGGAAUAGAAGCAAAUAACUAAAGAGAAGAGCAAGAGAAGAAGAGAGCAAAAAUGAGGGAAAGAAGCUAGCUUUGGUGGUGGUGUUGAUGAUGAUGAUAUUUACGAGUUAUUUAGCUCAAUUCAUCCCGAACGAUGAAUGUCGAUUUGAGGAAAAUGAAGACGAUAACGAUCUACUUCGCCUCUUCUCUGACGGUAGCAACGACACCCCGAGAAAAAUGAUGAAAGCGGCACCGCCGCGCCCCUCAUGUUUUGGAAAUUUCUGUGGUGGUGGACUACUCCCCUGUGCUGCACCUUGUGAAUGCAACAUUCCAAUGGGUGCAACAAGGGGAUAUUGUGUUGACUUUUAAUUCCUUCCAUGUUACAUUAUUAUGUAAGCUUAACUAUUUGCUUUCAUGUCAUGAAUCACUACAAAUAAUAUAAAUAAAGUGGAAGGGGUCAGUAAGAACUGAUCUUUUGCUGGUUAUCAAAUA
Molecule: long non-coding RNA, 659 nt
Organism: Benincasa hispida (wax gourd)
Lineage: Eukaryota; Viridiplantae; Streptophyta; Magnoliopsida; Cucurbitales; Cucurbitaceae
Source: RefSeq, a predicted model, not a curated record